Molecule: transfer RNA, 72 nt
Filed under: Antrostomus carolinensis (chuck-will's-widow)
Lineage: Eukaryota; Metazoa; Chordata; Aves; Caprimulgiformes; Caprimulgidae
Description: Caprimulgus carolinensis (chuck-will's-widow) tRNA
Rfam family: tRNA
About the family: Transfer RNA (tRNA) molecules are approximately 80 nucleotides in length.
Source: Rfam by way of RNAcentral
GGAGAAUUAGCUCAAAUGGUAGAGCACUUGCUUAGCAUGCAGAGGUAGUGGAAUCGAUACCUGCAUUCUCCA